Molecule: ribosomal RNA, 511 nt
Filed under: Bicristella sp. BFS-2018
Lineage: Eukaryota; Metazoa; Arthropoda; Insecta; Hymenoptera; Ichneumonidae
Description: partial 16S large subunit ribosomal RNA
Rfam family: Archaeal large subunit ribosomal RNA (bases 385-511)
Source: RNAcentral
UUAUUGAAAAUAAUUUUAAGUYUGAUYUGSUCCMUGAAAUAAUUUAAAUAGCUGCAGAAUUUUAACUGUACAAAGGUAGCAUAAUCAAUAGUUUUUUAAUUGAAAGCUGGAAUGAAGGAUUUGAUAAGGUAAAAAUUGUCUCAAAUUUAAUAAUAUUAAAAUUUUUUUUUUUGUUAAAAAACAAAAAUAAUUUUAAAAGACGAGAAGACCCUAUAGAUUUUUAUUUUUAUUAUUUAAAUAAAUUGAAAUAAAUUAAUAAAGUUUAAAUAUAAAAAAAUUUGGUUGGGGAAAUUAUUAAAUUAAUUAAAUUUUAAUUAUUUAUAAACAAAAAUUAUUGAAUUAAAGAACUUGAAGUUUUGAAUUAAUAGAAUAAAUUACCUUAGGGAUAACAGCGUAAUUUUUUUAGAGAGACCUUAUUAAUAAAAAAGUUUGCGACCUCGAUGUUGAAUUAAGAUAAAAUUUUAGUGUAGAAGUUAAAAAAUUUUGGUCUGUUCGACCAUUAAAAUCUUAC